UCAGCUCCGGUGGAGCAUGUGGUUUAAUUCGAUGCAACGCGAAGAACCUUACCUACUCUUGACAUCCAGAGAACUUUCCAGAGAUGGAUUGGUGCCUUCGGGAACUCUGAGACAGGUGCUGCAUGGCUGUCGUCAGCUCGUGUUGUGAAAUGUUGGGUUAAGUCCCGCAACGAAGCGCAACCCUUAUCCUUUGUUGCCAGCGGUUCGGCCGGGAACUCAAAGGAGACUGCCAGUGAUAAACUGGAGGAAGGGGUGGGAGUGUGGGGAUGACGUCAAGUCAUCAUGGCCCUUACGAGUAGGGCUACACAUCGUGCUACAAUGGCCGCAUACAAAGAGAAGCGACCUCGCGAGAGCAAGCGGACCUCAUAAAGUGCGUCGUAGUCCGGAUUGGAGUCUGCAACUCGACUCCAUGAAGUCGGAAUCGCUAGUAAUCGUAGAUCAGAAUGCUACGGUGAAUACGUUCCCGGGCCUUGUACACACCGCCCGUCACACCAUGGGAGUGGGUUGCAAAAAGAAGUAGGUAGCUUAACCUUCGGGAGGG
This 541-nucleotide ribosomal RNA is filed under the name Enterobacter asburiae. RNAcentral's name for it is "bacterial SSU rRNA". It matches the Rfam family "Bacterial small subunit ribosomal RNA", at positions 925 to 1450 of the family's 1533-position model. The record is from RNAcentral. Lineage: Bacteria; Pseudomonadati; Pseudomonadota; Gammaproteobacteria; Enterobacterales; Enterobacteriaceae.